RNAcentral lists this ribosomal RNA (571 nucleotides) under uncultured bacterium. RNAcentral's name for it is "bacterial SSU rRNA". It matches the Rfam family "Bacterial small subunit ribosomal RNA", at positions 29 to 618 of the family's 1533-position model. The record is from RNAcentral.
UUGAACGCUGGCGGCAGGCUUAACACAUGCAAGUCGAGCGGAUGAAAGUAGCUUGCUACUGGAUUCAGCGGCGGACGGGUGAGUAAUGCUUAGGAAUCUGCCUAUUAGUGGGGGACAACAUCUCGAAAGGGAUGCUAAUACCGCAUACGUCCUACGGGAGAAAGCAGGGGAUCUUCGGACCUUGCGCUAAUAGAUGAGCCUAAGUCGGAUUAGCUAGUUGGUGGGGUAAAGGCCUACCAAGGCGACGAUCUGUAGCGGGUCUGAGAGGAUGAUCCGCCACACUGGGACUGAGACACGGCCCAGACUCCUACGGGAGGCAGCAGUGGGGAAUAUUGGGCAAUGGGCGAAAGCCUGACCCAGCGACGCCGCGUGAAGGAAGAAGGUCUUCGGAUUGUAAACUUCUUUGAACAGGGACGAAUAAAUGACGGUACCUGAAGAACAAGCCACGGCUAACUACGUGCCAGCAGCCGCGGUAAUACGUAGGUGGCAAGCGUUAUCCGGAUUUACUGGGUGUAAAGGGCGUGUAGGCGGCUCUGCAAGUCAGAUGUGAGAUUCCCAGGCUUACCCUGGG